This 301-nucleotide ribosomal RNA is filed under the name uncultured bacterium. Its description in RNAcentral is "partial 16S ribosomal RNA". It matches the Rfam family "Bacterial small subunit ribosomal RNA", at positions 509 to 807 of the family's 1533-position model. The record is from RNAcentral.
CAGUCGCCGCGGUAAAACGUAGGGUGCAAGCGUUAAUCGGAAUUACUGGGCGUAAAGCGUGCGCAGGCGGUUAUAUAAGACAGAUGUGAAAUCCCCGGGCUCAACCUGGGAACUGCAUUUGUGACUGUAUAGCUAGAGUACGGCAGAGGGGGAUGGAAUUCCGCGUGUAGCAGUGAAAUGCGUAGAUAUGCGGAGGAACACCGAUGGCGAAGGCAAUCCCCUGGGCCUGUACUGACGCUCAUGCACGAAAGCGUGGGGAGCAAACAGGAUUAGAUACCCGUGUAGUCCCUGUCUCUUAUAC